This 2111-nucleotide long non-coding RNA is filed under the name Gallus gallus (chicken). RNAcentral's name for it is "lncRNA (ENSGALG00010015819.1)". The record is from RNAcentral. Lineage: Eukaryota; Metazoa; Chordata; Aves; Galliformes; Phasianidae.
AUCUAAUCCUGUUCCAUUUCCAUACCUUUCCAGGGAUUUGUUUCGUACUAUCAGUUAAUGUCUAUUACCUGCUUUUGGACAGGGGAUGCCAGGAUGGUGUCACCCUGGUGCCACAGCAAACUAUCAUAUCUCAAGUGGGAAGCUGCGUUUCUGCUGCUCAAGCACCUCUACUAUUCAGUGAAAUUGCCUUUUCAAUGGGAAUUUCUGCCCUCUCCAGCAGUGCUGCUGCACCCAAACCAUACACAAGCAGGAAGGCAUGGCAAGUAUCAAGGCUGAGGCAUGGAGUGCCUGCUGAGUAUGGGGCACACAGUAAGCGGCUUUAGGAUUUUCUUUCUGUCCUGUCCCUGUUGCACGUGACUCCAAUGCUACUCUGGGGUCUGUGUGAGCUGGUAGGGAGCCCUUGCUCCUCCCAGUCUGUUCAGGCUUUCAGGGGUUCAUGCUGCUUUUGUCCCAGUUUCAUGUCAGAAGGACACUUGCUGGGUCUAGGUACAGCACACCCUGCUCAGGCUCCAUCCCUGCACUGCCAUGGCCUUGCAUCCACGCCUUCAGUUAACCAAGCCUCGUCUGCAACCUGUUGCUCCUGCCCUACAAUGCUGCUUAAAUUUAGUUUAAAAUCUGGCCAUUUUACUGCUGCAUCCCACAUUCCUCACAGACAGUAGCAAGCUAAUAACAACGUGCUGAUGCCAUCGUAGCCAUCACAGGCUGGAGCUGGCAUGCAUAGUCUUGUCUCGUAAACCUCUUUGUCCCGUGAGAGAUUUGAGAAUUUAAUACACAUUCGGUCUGUACCUCCUUAUUUGAGGCUGGCCAGUCUGAAUCACUUUUGAUAAACUCUAAGCAGGAAUUUCAAACAUAGUUAUGUUCCUAUCAGUUUAAUUAAAGUAGAUGACUGGGUAGAGAAACCCUGUGAAAUGUUCCCAUUGAGGAGAAGGCUGUGCUGGGUGUGCCCCUGAGGAACCAUCAGGGAAUCUGCACAGGGCCAUGGCUGUUAUCAUGGGGCACUGAGGAACUUUACUUGAAGCUCUGUCUUGCACUGCCUUAUGAGGAUGCGACACUGCGUGGAUAUGAGAAGCCGGAAAGGACAGGCAUGGCAUGGAGUUUACUUUGCCAACAUUGAACUGGCAUCAAACAGAAGAUCUAUUUUUCGCCCUGCUCUGGUUGUCUGCAGCAUCUGGAUAAGCUGAAGACAGCAUUUGCUAAACUGAAAAGUAUUUAGGGAGAAGUUCUCUGUCUGUACCUCGCCUCUCAGCAGCUGGACCAUUUAUGGAUGCUCUGUAAGGGCAGUGUACGAUGACUUGCAGCAUUCCUCCAUGAGAAGCUUUUGUGGGAUUUCUGUCUUAUCAUUAGCACGUUAUAAAAAUGUCAACUAUUUCCAAACCUUUCAAGUUUCAUUGGAAGGACUACUCUGAAUUUCAGCCCUGAAGUCGGUUGAUGUGCGGUUUGAUCAUCUGUUCCUCCUCUCGUACAGAUGCUCUCAAUGUGGGCAGCAGAGCAGCGCUGUCACAGCAGAUUAAUGGCAGAAUGCAGCACUGCUUGUGGAAGCAGAGUAACUAAAGACCAACAGUGAUGUUGUACCAUCUGAAUAAACCCUGAAAUUAGAAUAAUUUUUCUCAAUGUUUCGGCCUCCUAAGUACAAAGUAAUAACCCUGUCAGGGGUAAUAUUUGCUGCUGUCUCCUGUGGAUGCAUUGGGAAUUCGCUGCAGCCUCCUGGGCAGAAGGUGGGUGUGUUGAUGGUGGGACACUGUACUAAAGGGAAAUGUACACAAGCCCCUUGGUCGCAGUGCAGGAUGGAACUACUGGGAAGAUCAGUGCUGCUUUGAACGUGGCAUUUGGUUUGGUUUCCUCACAGAAAGGACAAUGGAAAAAUGGGGAAUGUAUAUAUAUUUGUACAGCAGGCAAAAUGUGUUGUGGACUUCGGUAGGAGAUGGCAGUCGGUAUGUGAAAUCCAGACCCGAGGCAAAUACCAAAUGGUGGAUGGUGAAGAAAGCCUCGCUGAGUGCUCAUUGCCUCAGUACAAAUUGGACGAGGGCAAAACCUCAGCGAAGGAUGAGACUUAACAAUAUUCCUGUAAACCUCACAAAAAUAGGAGUAAUCCUGUAGCAUUGCCAGGCUGG